GGUUAAGCGACUAAGCGUACACGGUGGAUGCCCUGGCAGUCAGAGGCGAUGAAGGGCGUGCUAAUCUGCGAUAAGCGCCGGUAAGGUGAUAUGAACCGUUAUAACCGGCGAUACCCGAAUGGGGAAACCCAGUGUGAUUCGUCACACUAUCAUUAACUGAAUCCAUAGGUUAAUGAGGCGAACCGGGGGAACUGAAACAUCUAAGUACCCCGAGGAAAAGAAAUCAACCGAGAUUCCCCCAGUAGCGGCGAGCGAACGGGGAGGAGCCCAGAGCCUGAAUCAGCAUGUGUGUUAGUGGAAGUGUCUGGAAAGGCGCGCGAUACAGGGUGACAGCCCCGUACACAAAAGCGCAUGUGCUGUGAGCUCGAUGAGUAGGGCGGGACACGUGGUAUCCUGUCUGAAUAUGGGGGGACCAUCCUCCAAGGCUAAAUACUCCUGACUGACCGAUAGUGAACCAGUACCGUGAGGGAAAGGCGAAAAGAACCCCGGCGAGGGGAGUGAAAAAGAACCUGAAACCGUGUACGUACAAGCAGUGGGAGCCCCACCACCAAAGCAUUCUCUGGUGUUGAAGGCCCUGCAAAGCAGCAUCGCGGUGGCGGAGCGUCGUUUGCGACGCCCAACACACAAAACAAGCGGUGAGUGCUUUGGGGUGGGGUGACUGCGUACCUUUUGUAUAAUGGGUCAGCGACUUAUAUUCUGUAGCA
RNAcentral lists this ribosomal RNA (704 nucleotides) under Salmonella enterica. RNAcentral's name for it is "partial 23S ribosomal RNA". It matches the Rfam family "Bacterial large subunit ribosomal RNA", at positions 1 to 642 of the family's 2925-position model. Lineage: Bacteria; Pseudomonadati; Pseudomonadota; Gammaproteobacteria; Enterobacterales; Enterobacteriaceae. The record is from RNAcentral.